This 645-nucleotide ribosomal RNA is filed under the name uncultured bacterium. Its description in RNAcentral is "bacterial SSU rRNA". It matches the Rfam family "Bacterial small subunit ribosomal RNA", at positions 756 to 1406 of the family's 1533-position model. The record is from RNAcentral.
AAAGUGUGGGUAUCAAACAGGAUUAGAUACCCUGGUAGUCCACACAGUAAACGAUGAAUACUCGCUGUUUGCGAUAUACAGUAAGCGGCCAAGCGAAAGCAUUAAGUAUUCCACCUGGGGAGUACGCCGGCAACGGUGAAACUCAAAGGAAUUGACGGGGGCCCGCACAAGCGGAGGAACAUGUGGUUUAAUUCGAUGAUACGCGAGGAACCUUACCCGGGCUUAAAUUGCAUUUGAAUAAUCUGGAAACAGGUUAGCCGCAAGGCAAAUGUGAAGGUGCUGCAUGGUUGUCGUCAGCUCGUGCCGUGAGGUGUCGGCUUAAGUGCCAUAACGAGCGCAACCCUUAUCUUUAGUUACUAACAGGUCAUGCUGAGGACUCUAGAGAGACUGCCGUCGUAAGAUGUGAGGAAGGUGGGGAUGACGUCAAAUCAGCACGGCCCUUACGUCCGGGGCUACACACGUGUUACAAUGGGGGGUACAGAAGGCAGCUACCUGGCGACAGGAUGCUAAUCCCAAAAACCUCUCUCAGUUCGGAUCGAAGUCUGCAACCCGACUUCGUGAAGCUGGAUUCGCUAGUAAUCGCGCAUCAGCCAUGGCGCGGUGAAUACGUUCCCGGGCCUUGUACACACCGCCCGUCAAGCCAUG